RNAcentral lists this unclassified non-coding RNA (234 nucleotides) under plant metagenome. Its description in RNAcentral is "partial contains small subunit ribosomal RNA, internal transcribed spacer 1, and 5.8S ribosomal RNA". The record is from RNAcentral.
UCUCCGUUGGUGAACCAGCGGAGGGAUCAUUACCGAGUUAUUCCACUCCCAAACCCCUGUGAACUUAUACCUUUACUGUUGCUUCGGCGGGUUAACGCCCCGGAAGGCCCGCGAGGGCCGCCGGAACCAGGCGCCCGCCGGGGGACCCAAACUCUUGUAUCUUUUUUAUAGCAUGUCUGAGUGGAAUCAUAAACAAAUGAAUCAAAACUUUCAACAACGGAUCUCUUGGUUCUG